Molecule: long non-coding RNA, 1371 nt
Organism: Oncorhynchus tshawytscha (Chinook salmon)
Lineage: Eukaryota; Metazoa; Chordata; Actinopteri; Salmoniformes; Salmonidae
Source: Ensembl
ACUCAACACAACAUUGCUUCUACACUUGAUGCAUUUAAUCGGAUGGUUGUACUCUUUACUUUUUUUUAGUUAUUGGAACUCAUUGCAAGUCUGUAGACCUGUCUGUUGACAAGAAAAUAGCAGCUGCUAAUAUUUCUGUUGUUAGGGACCAAUUCUGUUGUUCGAUCUGUCUGGACAUAUUGAAGGAUCCAGUGGCAAUUCCUUGUGGACACAGGUACUGUAUAGACUGUAUUGAGGACUGCUAGGAUCAGGAUGAUCAGAGGGGAGUAUACAAAUGCCCCCAGUGCAGACAGACCUUCUUCCCAAGGCCUGUUUUGAACAGAAACACAAUGCCUGCUGAAUUGGUGGAGGAAUUGAAGAAGACAGGACUCCAAGCUGCUCCACCUGCUCACUAUUACACUGGACCUUUGGAUUUGGAGUUUGAUGUCUGCAUCUUGUUCACCUGUCCUUGUGAUUGUCUCCACCCCCUCCAGUCUCUGUUUGUUUCUAGUCCUCCUGGUUUCGACCCUUGCCUGUCCUAACUCCGAACCCGCCUGCCUGCCACUCUGCCUGUUCUGAUUACCAGCCUGCCUAUCCUCUUGCACUGUUUUGGACUCGGAUCUGGUUUCUGACCCCUGCCUGGCCUGACUUUGAGAUUGCCUAUCGUCUGGUACUGUUUGGACUCUGACCUGGUUUAUGAACUCUUGCCUGUUCCUUACCUGCCUUUGCCUACUCCUUUUGUUUUAAUACAUAUCGGAGCUCUACCAUCUGCCUCCUGUGACCAAGGGUUCAAGGCAAUAAUGGAGCAAAUCAGUGAAUUAGAUCAUAGGCAACCUUCCUACUUGUAGUGGAUUGGUUCAACCUUCCCCGGCUCCCCGAGAGCCCCGCUUACCUCCUCCGGAACGUUAUGCAGGCAAUUAUGGUACCUGCGGGGCGUUCCUUUCCCAGUGCUCUCUCAUAUUCAAACUCCAGCCCUCUUCAUUCCUGUCGGACCGUUCAAGGAUAGCGUAUUUAAUCACGCUAAUGUCUGGAAGGGCAUUCUCCUGGGCAACUGUCACGUCCUGACCAUAGAAAUCCUUUAUUUUCUAUGGUAGAGUAGGUCAGGGCGUGACUAGGGGGGUUAGUCGAGUUUAUAUUUUCUAUGUGGGUUCUAGGUUGUUUUUUUUCCCUAUGUUGGGGUUUUGGUAUGAUUCCCAAUUAGAGGCAGCUGGUUAUCGUUGUCUCUAAUUGGGGAUCAUACUUCAAGUAUAAUUUUUUUCCACGUGUGGGUUAUGAGAUAUUGUUUAUGUUUUGAGUAAGUGUAUGUAGCACCGCUGUUAUCACGGUUUGCUGUUUCGUUUGUUUGUAUUGCAAAGUUUCACUAUUAAAUAUACUGCUCAAAAAAAUAAAGGG